AAAAAUGAACAGAGAGAGGGAAAAAACUGUGAACAUGAUAAUCUGGGACACCUCAAAUCAUUUGCCAGGUCAAGCUGCAGUGGAGGACACAAACAACUUCCUUGGUCACGGGGAGACUGGAGCCUACCUCAGCUACCAAAGGCGAGAGGCAGGAUACACCCUGGACAGGAUUACAGGAUGUUUUACUCUGCUGUGGCGCCACAGCUAUAAAUGCACUAUAUGUUGCAUCGGCGAGUGUGUCGAGGGAUCUCAUCAGCAAAGACGGGGCCUUGGCCCUUUCAAUCAAGCAGACAUGAGCGCAAACCCGACUCUUCCCCUCUGGUGUCAUUUCAACAACCUGGCCCGGUGGGACAAAAGAUGCGACGCUCCCUGUGCUACCCUUUAAGCGGAGGGUCAGGUAAUCAAUCUUUAUACUUCCCCAUCCUUUUCUCCACAUCUCAUACAUCUUUCAGUUGCACUGGGGCCCGUUAUGGUUGUUUCUAAUAAAAGACUUACUCGGGGUCCACUGUCUCUGGCUUCAAACUUAUUUAUCCAGGCUGUGCCAUUCAUUCUGCCCGUGAGGCUCAUGUAUCUUUUAAAUGGAACGUGGUUCUUAUGUGGGCCAGGGAAGGGGGCAGGAGGGAGGUGGUGAAGGGCCCUCAGGUUUUUGUUUCACCGAGAAGCCAUUCAAACAUUGAUUUUCAGUCACACAUGGCGCUUUUUGUGACUGAGGACACCUGAUGCGGUGCAUCAAUGGGGUAAUCAGAGAUAACAGCCAGGUUGAAGAUCCACAGAAAGAAGUUCUGCCUAUUGUCUGACUCCAACAUUAAAAAUACAUCCUCGCAGACAAAUAAUCUGGUGCUUUCUAAACCAGCCGUUACUAGAACUGGAAGUCAAUCCAAUAGAUUUUAAAAAAGAAAAAAAGCACCUGCGAUUCAAGUGCACCUUUUUUUUCCAGCUAUGUGGGGAUGCAAUACCACAUUCAGUUUUCCAUUCAUUACAUUCAAGUCAUGUUGGACACACCAGCAGAGAGUAAUUUUCUGGUGUGAAUCAACAGUGGCAGCUUGUUUUAGGGGUUAGCAGAAAGUCUUGACAUUUCAAGAUAUAUCUCCCACAGGGGCCACGAGAAGCUGUGGGAUUGUGUCAAGAAAGAAUAAACACUGAAA
Molecule: long non-coding RNA, 1145 nt
Organism: Oreochromis niloticus (Nile tilapia)
Lineage: Eukaryota; Metazoa; Chordata; Actinopteri; Cichliformes; Cichlidae
Exons: 4
Source: RefSeq, a predicted model, not a curated record